AGCUUCGUCGUGCCUCCAACCAUAAUCCCAGAACUUCAUCGCGCUUCCAACCCCUACUUCGCCGCUCCCUCCAUCGACGCUCCCUCCGUCUCAAAGCCUCCGUCGUGCUCACUCUCUCGUAAGCCUUCAAACGUCGCUCCUUCCUCCAUGGCUGAAACCCGUAAUGCUCUGUUUUUCCUCCUGCGUCGCCGGUCUCCGUCUCCUCCUGCGUGUGGCUGUGCUGAAGCUCCAUGGGAAAGAUAUACAACGGAUUCCAUGGGUGAAGCUUAACCACGGCUACAGAAGUACCGCUUGACUCGAUUGAAGCAGUACAAGAACUACGAGAACCUCUCGUUCUCGUGAGGAUCUCGACAAGGAGUGUUUGGAAGUGCAGAAGGAGAAGGCCUUCUGUAUUGGCACCACUUGGGGAGCCAGUACCUAUUGAAUCCAACAUGAGUAGCUUUUAUGGGAAGAACAAGAAUAGUAACCCUUUUUUUUUUGUUUUACAAUUCUUUCUUUUUCUUUCUCCAUAGUAUAUGCUUCUUUAUAUAUAUCCCUCAAAUUGUU
This is a long non-coding RNA of Arachis duranensis, 546 nucleotides long. RefSeq lists it as uncharacterized. Lineage: Eukaryota; Viridiplantae; Streptophyta; Magnoliopsida; Fabales; Fabaceae. The record is from RefSeq and is a predicted model, not a curated record. The transcript has 3 exons.